Molecule: transfer RNA, 73 nt
Filed under: Nitzschia sp. PL1-4
Lineage: Eukaryota; Bacillariophyta; Bacillariophyceae; Bacillariales; Bacillariaceae
Description: tRNA-Glu
Rfam family: tRNA
About the family: Transfer RNA (tRNA) molecules are approximately 80 nucleotides in length. Their secondary structure includes four short double-helical elements and three loops (D, anti-codon, and T loops). Further hydrogen bonds mediate the characteristic L-shaped molecular structure. tRNAs have two regions of fundamental functional importance: the anti-codon, which is responsible for specific mRNA codon recognition, and the 3' end, to which the tRNAs corresponding amino acid is attached (by aminoacyl-tRNA synthetases). tRNAs cope with the degeneracy of the genetic code in two manners: having more than one tRNA (with a specific anti-codon) for a particular amino acid; and 'wobble' base-pairing, i.e. permitting non-standard base-pairing at the 3rd anti-codon position.
Source: RNAcentral
GCCCUCGUCGUCUAGUGGCCUAGGACAUUUCUUUUUCACGGAAAUAACAAGGAUUCGAUAUCCUUCGAGGGUA